GAGUUUUCCUUGCAACAGCAAUACAAGAUUAAAAAUUAAGCACACAUCUGUAGCUGCUAUACUGGAAAAGGAAGGAACCACCCCUCAAACCCUCAAAGAUCCUUUGGAAAACAACAAUACCGAACUGAAACCAAACAACCAAAGCCAAUAUGAAACAUUGCAUUAUAUUUUAAUUUUAUAUUACAGCAUAUUUGAAUGAAACAUUCUGGCAGCUUGUGCUAACUGCUACAUUUUUCAGCAAUUGCCAUAAUUGCAUGAGCAGAGUAAGUAUUUUGGGUAAAAUAACCUUUGAUGUCAUAUGAUCAUAGCAAAGCAGAAUAGCUUGCUAUAAAAUGAUAAUGGAGGUAAACA
Molecule: long non-coding RNA, 351 nt
Filed under: Salvator merianae (Argentine black and white tegu)
Lineage: Eukaryota; Metazoa; Chordata; Lepidosauria; Squamata; Teiidae
Description: lncRNA (ENSSMRG00000007450.1)
Source: RNAcentral